Triticum aestivum (bread wheat) is the source of this 115-nucleotide non-coding RNA. The record is from Rfam. NCBI's taxonomy places the organism in Eukaryota, Viridiplantae, Streptophyta, Magnoliopsida, Poales, Poaceae.
CGAGUACUCCUUCCGUUCCAAAUUACUUGUCGCAAGUAUGAAUAUAUCUAGAUGUAUUUUAGUUCUAGAUACAUCCAUUUCUGCGAUGAGUAAUUUGAAACGGAGGGAGUACAUG